AUACGUAGGUGGCGAGCGUUAUCCGGAAUUAUUGGGCGUAAAGGGAGCGCAGGCGGCUUAUUAAGUCUGAGGUUAAAUCUUGGGGCUCAACCCCAUGAUGCCUUAGAAACUGGUAGGCUAGAGUGCAGGAGAGGUGAGUGGAAUUCCAUGUGUAGCGGUAAAAUGCGUAGAUAUAUGGAGGAACACCGGUGGCGAAGGCGGCUCACUGGCCUGUAACUGACGCUGAGGCUCGAAAGCGUGGGGAGCAAAUAGGAUUAGAUACCCUAGUAGUCCACGCCGUAAACGAUGGAUACUAAGUGUUGGGAUAGAAUCUCAGUGCUGUAGUUAACGCAAUAAGUAUCCCGCCUGGGGAGUAUGCGCGCAAGCGUAAA
RNAcentral lists this ribosomal RNA (371 nucleotides) under uncultured bacterium. RNAcentral describes it as "bacterial SSU rRNA". It matches the Rfam family "Bacterial small subunit ribosomal RNA", at positions 523 to 898 of the family's 1533-position model. The record is from RNAcentral.